UUGGAGGGCAAGUCUGGUGCCAGCAGCCGCGGUAAUUCCAGCUCCAAUAGCGUAUAUUAAAGUUGUUGCAGUUAAAAAGCUCGUAGUUGAAUUUCGGGGUCAGUAGGUUGGUCAUGCCACUGGUAUGUACUGGUCUCACUGAUUCCUCCUUCCUGAUGAACUGUAAUGCCAUUAAUUUGGUGUUGCAGGGAAUCUGGACUGUUACUUUGAAAAAAUUAGAGUGUUUAAAGCAGGCUAACGCCUGAAUACAUUAGCAUGGAAUAAUGAAAUAGGACGUUCGAUCCUAUUUUGUUGGUUUCUAGGAUUGACGUAAUGAUUAAUAAGGAUAGUUGGGGGCAUUAGUAUUCAAUUGUCAGAGGUGAAAUUCUUGGAUUUAUUGAAGACUAACUACUGCGAAAGCAUUUGCCAAGGAUGUUUUCAUUAAUCAAGAACGAAAGUUAGGGGAUCGAAGACGAUCAGAUACCGUCGUAGUCUUAACCAUAAACUAUGCCGACUAGGGAUCGGAUGAUGUUAAUUUUUUAAUGACUCAUUCGGCGCCUUACGGGAAAC
Molecule: ribosomal RNA, 549 nt
Filed under: uncultured Rhizophagus
Lineage: Eukaryota; Fungi; Glomeromycota; Glomeromycetes; Glomerales; Glomeraceae
Description: SSU rRNA
Rfam family: Eukaryotic small subunit ribosomal RNA
Source: RNAcentral